RNAcentral lists this transfer RNA (69 nucleotides) under Ictidomys tridecemlineatus (thirteen-lined ground squirrel). Its description in RNAcentral is "Spermophilus tridecemlineatus (thirteen-lined ground squirrel) tRNA". It matches the Rfam family "tRNA". Rfam says of the family: Transfer RNA (tRNA) molecules are approximately 80 nucleotides in length. Their secondary structure includes four short double-helical elements and three loops (D, anti-codon, and T loops). Further hydrogen bonds mediate the characteristic L-shaped molecular structure. tRNAs have two regions of fundamental functional importance: the anti-codon, which is responsible for specific mRNA codon recognition, and the 3' end, to which the tRNAs corresponding amino acid is attached (by aminoacyl-tRNA synthetases). tRNAs cope with the degeneracy of the genetic code in two manners: having more than one tRNA (with a specific anti-codon) for a particular amino acid; and 'wobble' base-pairing, i.e. permitting non-standard base-pairing at the 3rd anti-codon position. Lineage: Eukaryota; Metazoa; Chordata; Mammalia; Rodentia; Sciuridae. The record is from Rfam by way of RNAcentral.
GGAGUUGUGGCUCAGAGGUAGAGCGCCUGCCUACCAUGCAUGAGGCACUGAGUUUGAUUCUCAGCACCA